Molecule: non-coding RNA, 479 nt
Organism: Myotis daubentonii (Daubenton's bat)
Lineage: Eukaryota; Metazoa; Chordata; Mammalia; Chiroptera; Vespertilionidae
Source: the annotation of a RefSeq genome assembly
UGAGCUGCAGGCAGAGAGGAUAAGACAGGAGCUGGCAGGGCCAGUGCCAGCUGGGCAGCCGCAGGCAGCGCUCAGGACCCUCCCACCAUGGCCUGGCUUCCCCUCUACCUCCUGCCCCUCAUCGUCUCCACAGGUCUCUGUGCUGAUCCUGUGCUCACCCAGCCCCCAUCUGCCUCUGCCGCCCAGGGGGCCUCGGCCAAGCUCACCUGCACCCUCAGCGCUGAGCACAGCGGCUACUAUAUUCACUGGUUUCAGCAGAGACCAGGACAGGCCCCUCGGUAUUUGAUGCAGGUUAAGAGCGAUGGAAGCCACACCAAGGGGGACGGGAUCCCUGAUCGCUUCUCGGGCUCCAGCUCCGGGGCCGACCGCUACUUAACCAUCUCCAACCUCCGGUCUGAGGACGAGGCGGACUAUUACUGUGGUGUACCUUAUGGCAGUGGGAGCACCUCGCAGUGACUCACAGUGACUCAGGCGGGUGG